GACGAAGGCUGGCGGCAGGCUUAACACAUGCAAGUCGAGCGCCCUGCUUGCAGGGAGCGGCAGACGGGUGAGUAAUGCAUGGGAAUCUACCCAGCUCUACGGAAUAACUCAGGGAAACUUGAACUAAUACCGUAUGCGCCCUUCGGGGGAAAGAUUUAUCGGAGUUGGAUGAGCCCAUGUCUGAUUAGCUAGUUGGUGGGGUAAAGGCCUACCAAGGCGACGAUCAGUAGCCGGUCUGAGAGGAUGAUCAGCCACACUGGGACUGAGACACGGCCCAG
RNAcentral lists this ribosomal RNA (278 nucleotides) under uncultured Nitratireductor sp. RNAcentral's name for it is "partial 16S ribosomal RNA". It matches the Rfam family "Bacterial small subunit ribosomal RNA", at positions 28 to 334 of the family's 1533-position model. The record is from RNAcentral. Lineage: Bacteria; Pseudomonadati; Pseudomonadota; Alphaproteobacteria; Hyphomicrobiales; Phyllobacteriaceae.